This 530-nucleotide ribosomal RNA is filed under the name uncultured Chloroflexota bacterium. Its description in RNAcentral is "SSU rRNA". It matches the Rfam family "Bacterial small subunit ribosomal RNA", at positions 8 to 537 of the family's 1533-position model. The record is from RNAcentral. Lineage: Bacteria; Bacillati; Chloroflexota.
AGAGUUUGAUCCUGGCUCAGGACGAACGCUGGCGGUGCGCCUAAUGCAUGCAAGUCGAACGGUCCCGGUUCGCUUCGGCUUACCGGGAUAGUGGCGGACGGCUGAGUAACACGUAAGUGACCUGUCCCGAAGAGGGGGAUAAUUCCGAGAAAUCGGACCUAAUACCCCGUACGAUCUCCUUCAACACGUUGUAGGAGAUGAAAGGUCCCCGCUUCGGCGGAUGCCGCUUUGGGAGGGGCUUGCGACCCAUCAGGUUGUUGGUGGGGUAAAAGCCUACCAAGCCUAAGACGGGUAGCCGGUGUGAGAACAUGAUCGGUCAGAGGGGGACUGAGACACGGCCCCCACUCCUACGGGAGGCAGCAGCAAGGAAUCUUGCGCAAUGGGCGAAAGCCUGACGCAGCGACACCGCGUGGGGGAAGAAGGCCCCUAGGGUUGUAAACCCCUUUUCUCGGGGAAGAGUAAGGACGGUACCCGAGGAAUAAGGUUCGGCUAACUACGUGCCAGCAGCCCCGGUAAUACGUAAGAACCAA